UGGACCUAAUAGAAGUUUAAAGGUACCGUACUGGCGAUCUUAAGAUUUUCCUAAACUCUGAUCAGUUUGAUGUAAAUGAAGCUAUAAUGGAUGUAGAGGAUGCUUGAAACUUUUUCAAGUUUAUGGUUUAUUUUAGCAGUCUAGAUCCUCUUUAAUAAAAAAUUUCGUUGGUUUCUCUUUGGAAUCUGAUGUUGAUGGUCAUGUCUUUGGCAUCUAGCCAUCUACUGUUUGACAUUGAUUGACAGAAUGGCUCGUCAUCAAUGGGACAUGAACCAUUUGAAAGAACCCUUUUGAUGAUUUUAAAAUAUUUUUCAAUAAAUCCAUUAAUUUUAACAGGUCAAGCUUAGGUGUGGACUGA
This 358-nucleotide unclassified non-coding RNA is filed under the name Hevea brasiliensis (rubber tree). The record is from RNAcentral. Lineage: Eukaryota; Viridiplantae; Streptophyta; Magnoliopsida; Malpighiales; Euphorbiaceae.